Molecule: ribosomal RNA, 870 nt
Filed under: uncultured bacterium
Lineage: Bacteria
Description: bacterial SSU rRNA
Rfam family: Bacterial small subunit ribosomal RNA
Source: RNAcentral
GACGAACGCUGGCGGCGUGCCUAAUACAUGCAAGUCGAACGAACGGAUUGAGGAGCUUGCUCUCCAUGAAGUUAGUGGCGGACGGGUGAGUAACACGUGGGAAACCUACCCUUCAGCGGGGGAUAACCGUCGGAAACGAAGGCUAAUACCGCAUAGGUCUUUUAACCACCUGGUUGAAAGAGGAAAGACGGCUUCGGCUGUCACUGAAGGAUGGUCCCGCGGUGCAUUAGCUAGUUGGUAAGGUAACGGCUUACCAAGGCGAUGAUGCAUAGCCGACCUGAGAGGGUGAUCGGCCACAUUGGGACUGAGACACGGCCCAAACUCCUACGGGAGGCAGCAGUAGGGAAUCUUCCGCAAUGGACGAAAGUCUGACGGAGCAACGCCGCGUGAGUGAAGAAGGUUUUCGGAUCGUAAAACUCUGUUGUCGGAGAAGAACAAGUAGGAGAGUAACUGUUCCUACCUUGACGGUACCCGACCAGAAAGCCACGGCUAACUACGUGCCAGCAGCCGCGGUAAUACGUAGAUGGCAAGCGUUGUCCGGAUUUAUUGGGCGUAAAGCGAGCGCAGGUGGUUUCUUAAGUCUGAUGUGAAAGCCCACGGCUCAACCGUGGAAGGUCAUUGGAAACUGGGGAACUUGAAUGCAGAAGAGGAAAGUGGAAUUCCAUGUGUAGCGGUGAAAUGCGUAGAUAUAUGGAGGAACACCAGUGGCGAAGGCGACUUUCUGGUCUGUAACUGACGCUGAGGCUCGAAAGCGUGGGGAGCAACAGGAUUAGAUACCCUGGUAGUCCACGCCGUAAACGAUGAGUGCUAAGUGUUGGAGGGUUCCACCCUUCAGUGCUGGAGUUAACGCAAUAAGCACUCGCCUGGGGA